AUACAGAGGGUGCAAGCGUUAAUCGGAAUUACUGGGCGUAAAGCGCGCGUAGGCGGUUUUGUAAGUCGGAUGUGAAAGCCCUGAGCUCAACUCAGGAACUGCAUUCGAUACUGCAUAACUAGAGUAUGGUAGAGGGAAGUGGAAUUCCAGGUGUAGCGGUGAAAUGCGUAGAUAUCUGGAGGAACAUCAGUGGCGAAGGCGACUUCCUGGACCAAUACUGACGCUGAGGUGCGAAAGCGUGGGGAGCAAACAGGAUUAGAAACCCUAGUAGUCC
This 274-nucleotide ribosomal RNA is filed under the name uncultured bacterium. Its description in RNAcentral is "partial 16S ribosomal RNA". It matches the Rfam family "Bacterial small subunit ribosomal RNA", at positions 523 to 796 of the family's 1533-position model. The record is from RNAcentral.